Molecule: long non-coding RNA, 226 nt
Organism: Salvelinus sp. IW2-2015
Lineage: Eukaryota; Metazoa; Chordata; Actinopteri; Salmoniformes; Salmonidae
Source: RefSeq, a predicted model, not a curated record
CUGUCCAGCGAUCUAUCUGGCUAAGAAGAACAUCAGGAAACAGGGGGAGCUGGUGGACUUUGAGAAGGAGAACUACAGCAUCCUGCACAAGAAGAUUAACCACACCUGGGACUUUGUGGUGAUGCAGGCCAGAGAACAGCUCAGGGCCUCUAAGCAGAGAAAGAWGGCUGACCGCAUCGUUCUGGAGUGCCAGGAGCAAGCCUACUGGCUGGCCAACAAACCAUGU